CCUACGGGAGGCUGCAGUGGGGGAUAUUGCACAAUGGGGGAAACCCUGAUGCAGCGACGCCGCGUGGAGGAAGAAGGUUUUCGGAUUGUAAACUCCUGUCGUUAGGGACGAUAAUGACGGUACCUAACAAGAAAGCACCGGCUAACUACGUGCCAGCAGCCGCGGUAAAACGUAGGGUGCAAGCGUUGUCCGGAAUUACUGGGUGUAAAGGGAGCGCAGGCGGACCGGCAAGUUGGAAGUGAAAACUAUGGGCUCAACCCAUAAAUUGCUUUCAAAACUGCUGGCCUUGAGUAGUGCAGAGGUAGGUGGAAUUCCCGGUGUAGCGGUGGAAUGCGUAGAUAUCGGGAGGAACACCAGUGGCGAAGGCGACCUACUGGGCACCAACUGACGCUGAGGCUCGAAAGCAUGGGUAGCAAACAGGAUUAGAUACCCCUGUAGUC
Molecule: ribosomal RNA, 440 nt
Filed under: Clostridioides sp. ZZV13-5731
Lineage: Bacteria; Bacillati; Bacillota; Clostridia; Peptostreptococcales; Peptostreptococcaceae
Description: bacterial SSU rRNA
Rfam family: Bacterial small subunit ribosomal RNA
Source: RNAcentral